CCCCAUGGUCCAUAAACUGUGAAAAAGCGCAAGCCAGUAAGGGAAAGACCGUAAAUAUGAUUAUAAGUAUGUGCAAUUUCCUCUCCAGCCUUUUUAGUAGCAGCAUACAAACUAGCAGGUUGGUCAGUUCUAUCUUUCUCAGAAAAGGGUACUUUUGUAUUAAGCCCAUAAACAGAACUGGAAGAUGCCCAUACAAUUGCAGGUUGGGGAUUUGCUUCUUUACAAACUUCUAAUAAACUAACAAGACCAGCAAUGUUACUGUGCACAUAAGAGCUAGGGUUUUCCAUUGCAUACCUAACCCCAGCCUGAGCAGCCAAAUGCAU
This 323-nucleotide long non-coding RNA is filed under the name Jatropha curcas. RNAcentral's name for it is "long non-coding RNA (JCUR_LNC002527)". The record is from RNAcentral. Lineage: Eukaryota; Viridiplantae; Streptophyta; Magnoliopsida; Malpighiales; Euphorbiaceae.